Callithrix jacchus (white-tufted-ear marmoset) is the source of this 3304-nucleotide long non-coding RNA. Lineage: Eukaryota; Metazoa; Chordata; Mammalia; Primates; Cebidae. The record is from Ensembl.
UUGAAGUUACUUUCUGGUAUGUGUAUUUAUUUAUUUAAUUUAUUGAGAUGGGGUCCCACUCUGUUGCCUAGGCUGAAGUGCGGUCGAAAGAUCUCAGUUCAUUGCAACCUCUAUCUUCCAGGCUCAAGUAAUCCUCCCACCUCAGCCUCCUAAGUAGCUAGGACUACAGGCAUGGACCACCAUGCCCAGCUAAUUUUUGUAUUUUUUUGUAGAGAAGGGUUUCUCCAUGUUGGCCGGGUUGAUCUUGAACUCCUGGACCAAAGUGAUCUACCCACCUACGCUUCCCAAAAUGCUGGGAUUACAGGUGUGAACCACCACUCCCUGCUCUGGUUUAUUUUCCGUCAAAGCAAUACCUUUUUAAACCAAAAAGCAAUUUUUUCCUCAUCAGGUGAAACUUUCAUCUCCCUCAGAGACAAUAACUUAAAGACCUUUGGUUUGUGGAGUGGUGAAAAUAGCCUAAUUCUGUAGUCCUCUGGACUUCUUUCUACAACCAUAUGCUCUGCAGUCACCCAGCCACUGGUGGACUACUCAUCAUCAGCUGGGCCUUGGACUCUUUUGACAGAAUCCCUGAUCAUUGAGACAUCUUAACCUCUGCCUCCGGGAUUUUCCUGAGUCCUCUACCCUACCUCAGUGGAUGUAUCCAGUCUAACUCCCAACUCUUCCAGAAACGAUCUUCCCACAGUAACUUUCUGACUGUUUGGGCAGACCAACAAUGAAUUUUCUUUCUUUUCUUUUCUUCUCUCUUCUUUCUUUCUUUCUUUCUUUCUUUCUUUCUUUCUUUCUUUCUUUCUUUCUUUCUUUCUUUCUUUUUCUUUUUCUUCUCCCCCCUCUCUCCUCUCUCUCUCUCCUCUCUCUCUCUCUCUCUCCUCUUUCUCUCUCUCUCUCUCUCUCUCCUCUCUCUCUCUCUCUCUCUCUCUCUCUCUCUCUCUCUCUCUCUCUCUCUCUCUCUCUCUCUCUCUUUCUUUCACCAAAAAGGAUUGAGAACAAAGAACUAGGAGACAGAUUGGAUGGCCUCUGUUCCUCUGUGUUUACUGUGAGGAUGUCUCCUACUCACCAAAAAGAUAAAGUCAUUGUAUUGUACAGAGGUGCCUUUAAAAGGAUCAUCUUAACUCUUCUAAAGAUCUGAAAGGUAGGUAUACUGUAGAUUUUGAAAAUACAUAGUAUAUUUUCUAGAUUUUAAUUUGUGUUUUCCCUUUCUCUUGCACCAUAAUAAAUAGUCUUUGCAUAAAGAGCAUAUAAUAUGCUAUUGGACAUAUACAAAAGGAUAGGGUUAUUGUAUAUUACAUACAGAUAUAUAGGGAUGUCACUGCUUUUAAGCCUGAGAGUUCCAGAUGUGUACUGUCUGUUUGGAUGGAGAUGUCAAACAUGGGCAAGGGGAAGGAGCACCUACAAAUGGCCAAGGAAUAAUAACCAAGUACUUCUGGAAAAGCUCAGAAAAUUUUCUGCUGCAGCUAGUCAGUGUUCACUUUAAAUUUAAUUUUAAUUGACUUUAGAGACCAUUUUUCUUUUUCUUUCUUUUUUUUUUUUUUUGAGACAGAGUGGAGUGCAGGCUGGAGUGCAGUGGCACAAUCUCAGUUCACUGCAACCUCUGCCUUCCAGUUCAAGCAAUUCUGCUGCCUCAGCCUCUGAGAAGCUGGGAUUACAGGUGCCCGCCACACGCCCGGUUGAUUUUUGUAUUAUUAGCAGAGACAGGGUUUCACCACCUUUGACCUCAAGUAGUCCACCCGCCUGGGCCUCCCAAAGUGCUGGGGUUACAGGCGUGAGCCACCAUACCCAGCCGAGACCAUUUUUCAAUAUAGUAAAUUGUGUAAUCUAUUUGAGUACUCCUUUAAAAUUUUUGAAAUUUGGCCGGGCGCGACAGCUCACGCCUGUAAUCCCAGCACUUUGGGAAGCCGAGGUUGGCAGAUCACGAGGUCAAGAAAUCGAGUCCAUCCUGGCCAACAUGGUGAAACCCCGUCUCUACUAAAAAUACAAAAAAUAGCCGGGCAUGGUAGCACGUGCCUGUGGUCCCAGCUACUCUGGAGGCUGAGGCGGAAGAAUCGCUUGAAACCGGUAGGCAGAGGUUGCAGUGAGCUGCGAUUGCGCCACUGCACUCCAGCCUGGCGACAGAGCAAGACUCCGUCUCAAAAAAAAAAAAUUGAAAUUCGUAGUAUUUUUUUAUUCUUUCUUCUAGCUCCUUUUUAGUUAUAAAAAUUGCUUACAUAUCACAUAUUUCCACAUCUUGAAUUUUUCUAAAUUCCCACCAAAUUGAAGUGAAUUUCUAAGUAGAGCAUUAUUGCUUUAGAGUGCAGUGUUGUGAUCUUGGCUCACUGCAACCUCUGCCUCCUGGGUUCAGGUGAUUCUCCUGCUUCAGCCUCCUGAGUAGCUGGGAUUACAGUUGUGUGCCACCACACCUGGCUAAUUUUUGUAUUUUUAGUAGAGACAGGGUUUUACCUUGUUGGUCAGGCUGGUCUCCAACUCUUGACCUCAUGAUCCGCCCACCUCGGCCUCCCAAAGUGCUGGGAUUACAAGUGUGAACCACCGAGCCCAGCUGUGUAAUAUAUUUCAAAAUUAGGAAAUGUUAUACCUUCAGCUUUGUUCUUCAUUCUUAAGAUUAAUUUGACUAUUUAUGGUCUUUAGUGGUUCCAUAUGAAUUUUAGAAUUGCUUUUUUCUAUUUCUAUUAAAAAUGUCAUUGGAAUUUGGAUAGAAAUUGCAUUGAAUCUGUAGAUCACUUUGGUCUUAUGGAUAUUUUAACAAUAUUGAGUCUUCUAACUCUUGAACAUGAGGUGUCUUUUCAUUUGUGUCUUGUUUCAUAUCUUUUAAAAUUUAUAAGCAGACAUUGCAGGAGAUGUCUUGUUUAAUUUCUUUCAUCAAUAUUUUGUAGUUUUCAGCAUAUAAAUCUUUCAUCUCAAUUCAGUUUCUUCCUGGGUAUUUUAUUCUCUUGUUGUUAUUGUAAAUGGGAUUAUUUUCCUAAUUUCUUUUCAGAUAGCUUGUUGUUAAUUUAUCUAUAUGACUUUAAAGAUUGUUUUUGGGCUGGGUGCAGUGGCUCACACCUGUAAUCCCAGAACUUUGGGAGGCUGAGGCAGGUGGGUCACUUGAGUUCAGGAGUUCAAGACCAGCUUGGCCAACAUGGUAAAAAUCCCACCUCUACUAAAAAUACAAAAAUUAGUCAGGUGUAGUGGUGCACACCUGUAAUCCCAGUUACUUGGGAGGCUGAGGCAGGAGAAUCUCUUGAACCUGGGAGGCAGAGGUUGCAAUGAACCGAGAUUGUGCCACUGCACUCCAGCCUGGGUGACAGACUCUAUCUCCAAAAAAAAAACCAAA